UACGUAGGGUGCGAGUGUUGUUCGGAAUUACUGGGCGUAAAGCGCAUGUAGGUGGUUUGUUAAGUCAGAUGUGAAAUCCCACGGCUCAACUGUGGAAGUGCAUUUGAAACUGGCAAGCUAGAGUUCGGUAGGGGAUAGUGGAAUUCCUAGUGUAGAAGUGAAAUUCGUAGAUAUUAGGAGGAACACCGGUGGCGAAGGCGGCUAUCUGGACCUGAACUGACACUGAGAUGCGAAAGCGUGGGGAG
RNAcentral lists this ribosomal RNA (245 nucleotides) under uncultured bacterium. RNAcentral describes it as "partial 16S ribosomal RNA". It matches the Rfam family "Bacterial small subunit ribosomal RNA", at positions 524 to 768 of the family's 1533-position model. The record is from RNAcentral.